RNAcentral lists this ribosomal RNA (558 nucleotides) under uncultured bacterium. RNAcentral's name for it is "partial 16S ribosomal RNA". It matches the Rfam family "Bacterial small subunit ribosomal RNA", at positions 355 to 907 of the family's 1533-position model. The record is from RNAcentral.
UGGGGAAUUUUGGACAAUGGGCGAAGCAGCUGCACAAGAUGCCGCGUGCAGGAUGAGGGCCUUCGGGUUGUAAACUGCUUUUGNACGGAACGAAAAGCCCUGGGUUAAUACCCUGGGGUCAUGACGGUACCGUAAGAAUAAGCACCGGCUAACUACGUGCCAGCAGCCGCGGUAAUACGUAGGGUGCAAGCGUUAAUCGGAAUUACUGGGCGUAAAGCGUGCGCAGGCGGUUUUGUAAGACAGAGGUGAAAUCCCCGGGCUCAACCUGGGAACUGCCUUUGUGACUGCAAGGCUAGAGUACGGCAGAGGGGGAUGGAAUUCCGCGUGUAGCAGUGAAAUGCGUAGAUAUGCGGAGGAACACCGAUGGCGAAGGCAAUCCCCUGGGCCUGUACUGACGCUCAUGCACGAAAGCGUGGGGAGCAAACAGGAUUAGAUACCCUGGUAGUCCACGCCCUAAACGAUGUCAACUGGUUGUUGGGUCUUAACUGACUCAGUAACGAAGCUAACGCGUGAAGUUGACCGCCUGGGGAGUACGGCCGCAAGGUUGAAACUUAAAUG